RNAcentral lists this unclassified non-coding RNA (344 nucleotides) under soil metagenome. RNAcentral describes it as "partial contains 5.8S ribosomal RNA, internal transcribed spacer 2, and large subunit ribosomal RNA". The stretch from base 1 to 120 matches the Rfam family "5.8S ribosomal RNA", at positions 35 to 154 of the family's 154-position model. The record is from RNAcentral.
GAUGAAGAACGUAGCGAAAUGCGAUACGUAAUGUGAAUUGCAGAAUUCAGUGAAUCAUCGAGUCUUUGAACGCACAUUGCGCCCUCUGGUAUUCCGGAGGGCAUGCCUGUCCGAGCGUCAUUGCUGCCCUCAAGCACGGCUUGUGUGUUGGGCUCCGUCCCCCGAUCCCGGGGGACGGGCCCGAAAGGCAGCGGCGGCACCGCGUCCGGUCCUCGAGCGUAUGGGGCUUUGUCACCCGCUCUGUAGGCCCGGCCGGCGCUUGCCGAUCAACCAAAUUUUUAUCCAGGUUGACCUCGGAUCAGGUAGGGAUACCCGCUGAACUUAAGCAUAUCAAUAAGCGGAGA